RNAcentral lists this long non-coding RNA (484 nucleotides) under Homo sapiens (human). Its description in RNAcentral is "non-protein coding LINC02076:13". The record is from RNAcentral. Lineage: Eukaryota; Metazoa; Chordata; Mammalia; Primates; Hominidae.
AAGACAGUGGAGGAAAACGGUGAGGAGAAAGGAGGGUGGAAAAGAAGACGAUGAGGACAAGGCCGGGCGCGGUGGCUCACGCCUGUAAUCCCAGCACUUUGGGAGGCUGAUGCGGGCGGAUCACAAGGUCAGGAGUUCGAGACCUGCCUGACCAACAUGCUGAAACCCAGUCUCUACUAAAAAUACAAAAAUUAGCUGGGCGUGAUGGCGAGCGCCUGUAAUCCAGCUACUCCAGCGCCUGAGGCAGGAGAAUCGCUUGAACCCCGGAGGCGGAGGUUGCAGUGAGCUGAGAACUCACCAUUGCACUCCAGCCUGGAUGACAGAGAAGGUCAUGGGAACAUACAGAGACCUACAGGGAAGACGGCCAUGGGACAAGGGAGGCAGAGUCUGGAGUUACGCUGCCUACAGUCACGGAAUGCCAAGGACAGCUGGAAACCACCAGAAGCUAAGAAGGAGAUUUUACCUGAAAGCCUCUCAAAGAAAU